GCCGUAAGGCGUGGCAUACGGCUCAGUAACACGUAGUCAACAUGCCCAAAGGACGUGGAUAACCUCGGGAAACUGAGGAUAAACCGCGAUAGGCCAAGGUUUCUGGAGUGAGCCAUGGCCGAAAUCUAUAUGGCCUUUGGAUUGGACUGCGGCCGAUCAGGCUGUUGGUGAGGUAAUGGCCCACCAAACCUGUAACCGGUACGGGCUUUGAGAGAAGUAGCCCGGAGAUGGGCACUGAGACAAGGGCCCAGGCCCUAUGGGGCGCAGCAGGCGCGAAACCUCUGCAAUAGGCGAAAGCUUGACAGGGUUACUCUGAGUGAUGCCCGUUAAGGGCAUCUUUUGGCACCUCUAAAAAUGGUGCAGAAUAAGGGGUGGGCAAGUCUGGUGUCAGCCGCCGCGGUAAUACCAGCACCCCGAGUGGUCGGGACGUUUAUUGGGCCUAAAGCAUCCGUAGCCGGUUCUACAAGUCUUCCGUUAAAUCCACCUGCUUAACAGAUGGGCUGCGGAAGAUACUAUAGAGCUAGGGGGCGGGAGAGGCAAGCGGUACUCGAUGGGUAGGGGUAAAAUCCGUUGAUCCAUUGAAGACCACCAGUGGCGAAGGCGGCUUGCCAGAACGCGCUCGACGGUGAGGGAUGAAAGCUGGGGGAGCAAACCGGAUUAGAUACCCGGGUAGUCCCAGCUGUAAAC
This 687-nucleotide ribosomal RNA is filed under the name uncultured Nitrososphaerota archaeon. RNAcentral describes it as "bacterial SSU rRNA". It matches the Rfam family "Archaeal small subunit ribosomal RNA", at positions 64 to 758 of the family's 1478-position model. The record is from RNAcentral. Lineage: Archaea; Thermoproteati; Nitrososphaerota.